CCUACGGGGGGCAGCAGUCGAGAAUCAUUCACAAUGGGGGAAACCCUGAUGGUGCGACGCCGCGUGGGGGAAUGAAGGUCUUCGGAUUGUAAACCCCUGUCAUGUGGGAGCAAAUUAAAAAGAUAGUACCACAAGAGGAAGAGACGGAUAACUCUGUGCCAGCAGCCGCGGUAAUACAGAGGUCUCAAGCGUUGUUCGGAAUCACUGGGCGUAAGGCGUGCGUAGGCUGUUUCGUAAGUCGUGUGUGAAAGGCGCGGGCUCAACCCGCGGACGGCACAUGAUACUGCGAGACUAGAGUAAUGGAGGGGGAACCGGAAUUCUCGGUGUAGCAGUGAAAUGCGUAGAUAUCGAGAGGAACACUCGUGGCGAAGGCGGGUUCCUGGACAUUAACUGACGCUGAGGCACGAAGGCCAGGGGAGCGAAAGGGAUUAGAUACCCCUGUAGUC
This 446-nucleotide ribosomal RNA is filed under the name uncultured bacterium. Its description in RNAcentral is "partial 16S ribosomal RNA". It matches the Rfam family "Bacterial small subunit ribosomal RNA", at positions 338 to 795 of the family's 1533-position model. The record is from RNAcentral.